Gorilla gorilla gorilla (western lowland gorilla) is the source of this 1764-nucleotide long non-coding RNA. RefSeq lists it as uncharacterized. NCBI's taxonomy places the organism in Eukaryota, Metazoa, Chordata, Mammalia, Primates, Hominidae. The record is from RefSeq and is a predicted model, not a curated record. The transcript is spliced from 3 exons.
AAAAACACCUCUCUCUCUCUUUCUCUCUCUCUCAAACACACACACAUACACCCAAGGCAUACUUGCCUCCCCUUAUCCGAAUAACAAAGCAAGUAUUAACCCUCCUCCCACCACUUUGGGCAAAUCCCCGGGGAGGUUUGCUCUCCUUGGCACCAGGAGGGUUGGGGAAAGCACCUUCUAGGGGUGAUCCAUGGGGGGCGAGAGUGCAAGGACGAGCCCUUCUUUUUUGUAGGCUCCAGGCAGGUCCGGAGCGAAGCGGCUGGGAAGCCUAGCAGGAGACCGGGCUCGCCCCACCCGCGAUGGUGACUGGAGGAGGCUCCUCUAGGAGUCCUGGCUGCACCUCCAAGAUCUGCCUUCAGGAGAGACGCGGCCGGGGUGGACACGGCAGGAGGUGCAUUCUCAGACCUGGGGACGUUCCACUGCACAAGGACAGCGAGGGUGCUAGUUGGGGAACGCAUAGCCACCGAUCCCAGGCGCCUUGCCAAGUCGCCCGCUGAACGUCUUCUACUGGAGGCGAAUUCGGGCGCAGCGACGGGGGGCGGGGGCAACUAAGUUAUCCAGUUAAGAAACGUGCACUCGCACUGGACUCUGCUAACUGCUGACGACGGACUCCGCUUCUUGCCUGAGAGGGAGGAAGCACGAACGUUCUGUAUGUAACGAAAUGAGGACGACUGUUUCAAAGCUACUUAAAUAUUGUUGUGUUAAAGAGUAUUUACACUGAUCUCAUUGUAUCAUUUAGCUUCAAAGCUCAAAAUUCUGCUUUACUUAGAUAAGAGGGAUAGAACUACAACUCUAACUGGCUUUAGCAAUGAAGAAAAUUUCUGGUUUCACAUCCUUCAAGAGUCCAGAGGUGGCUACAGAUUCAGGAGACAUGCACCAGGAGGAACUGGCAAAUUUCCUUGGCAAGAACAGAUGAAUAAAUAAGAAGCAUGAGCUUGCGACUUUUAGCUGGGGUGAUUCGUCAAAAACCACAGCACUGUGGCUGUUUUCAGAUUUUAAGGGUUAUGUUCAACCUCAAUCAAGGGGAGUUUUGAAAGCUGUUAUAAAUCAUCAAAUAAAUUGAGGAAAAAAUUUUGGUAGAACAUGAUGUUACUUUUUCACGUAUGGCUGAAUAUAUUCACCUGAAGGUUUUUCCAAGCUAUGCUAGUGUUAGACAAUGAUGAUUACCUAUUCAUGUUUGUCUAAUGUUUUGAGUGGUGAGUGGCAUUAAGUGAGGAAUCUCAUGAUGAAUAAUUGGCUUUAAUCCUCAAGAAAGGACAAAGUAUCUGAACAAGAUACCCCUGAAGAUCGGUCACUUGUUAUAAGUACCAAGUGGUCAAGAUGGAUAAAUUGGGUUCUACAAUAUAGAUCAUAUUGGGUUUAUAAUGCCUCUGCAAUUUUUCAACAUUAUUUUGUAGAUCCAACAAUGCAUACUAUAUGUGUCUGGUUAUUUCUGUUUUCCCUUCAGAUCUCCUCUCCAUGGUUCUCCACUGUGUGCUGUGCCUGGAGAUUGGCUUUUAUGGACCACAUCAAUGAGAUUCAUUGCUUUAUGGCCUCCCACUGGAUUCAGCCAACAGGAAGUGCUGUUUAAAAACUUGGAGAGUUGGGUGGGAGAGUCAUCUCAGGAUUUUCAUUUUCCAGGCUCCCUUCCUGCUGGCUCAUUACAUACUAACUUCAUUCCUGUCCCAAAUGCUGUAGCUCCCAUCAGGGAGCCCUCUCCAGAUUCCAUUAACCUUGCGAUUCCCUUGUCUCUUUAGGCCUAACAGGAUAAUAACUCCAGUCUGU